RNAcentral lists this long non-coding RNA (925 nucleotides) under Bos indicus x Bos taurus (hybrid cattle). RNAcentral describes it as "lncRNA (ENSBIXG00005023829.1)". Lineage: Eukaryota; Metazoa; Chordata; Mammalia; Artiodactyla; Bovidae. The record is from RNAcentral.
UACUAGUAUACAACAACUCAAACACAUUCCCUCACGCCCCCAUGGACACAUAAAAGUUUAAUUCCAAGUUAAACUAUCUAGAAAAUUAAUAUGAAGGUCAAAAUGGGACAGUUUUUCUAGUUGAAAACCCUGUUUAUUUAUUCUUUAAUCCAAACAUUUUUACAAAUCUGAAAAAGAGGUUGAUUACAUUUUAAAUAUUCACUUCUGCCUAUUUGGUUCUGUUUGGUUAAAGGGUGAUGGGAUUUGGCCAGGCUUUCUUCCCAGAAUCAAGAGUCAUUCUCUGAGGAAGAGUAGACUCACUCACUGUCUUGAAACACUGAUGGAUGAAAGAGACCAGAUAAAGAAGACCAAUACCCUGAGUACCUUGGGAUACUUAUCCAGAAGUCAAUCAAGAAAUAAAAGUUAGUCUAGCUAAGAAGUUUUAUGUGUUGAGUGCAUUGUAGAUAAAAAACAAAAAACAAAAACAAAAAAACAAAAAAAAACUGCCCAGUGAUAAAGGGAAAUUCAGUGUGUGGAUAGUCAGGUUUCAGGCACAUUGUUUCAGGAAAAGUCAAGAGUCUGGGUAGAUUGUCUGUUAGACAUGCAUAGAAAUAAUGUCCUAAGGUCAGCUUUAAUCCAAGCCUCAGAAAAGGCAAAUAAUUUGCACAAGGAAAAACUCUUUGAAAUGGUCAGAGAAUGUAGCUUCAACAGCAGCUUGGAAAUUUGAAAUGCUCAACUUUAGAAAGGUUGGCCCCCACAUGACAGAAAGCUGCCGAAUUAGCACAAACCCAUUCCUAGUCUAACAAAGACUGAUUUGAUUCUCAUCAGAUAUUGUUGUUCAACUGAGAGAGACUAUUUCUGAAUAUUUGGUAAUAAUUCUAUAACCUCACAAAGAUUUUCUACUUUUGCAAAUAAAACCUCUAAAUAAUUCUGGAACCCUGCCCCU